Molecule: ribosomal RNA, 252 nt
Filed under: uncultured bacterium
Lineage: Bacteria
Description: partial 16S ribosomal RNA
Rfam family: Bacterial small subunit ribosomal RNA
Source: RNAcentral
UACGGAGGAUGCGAGCGUUAUCCGGAUUUAUUGGGUUUAAAGGGUGCGUAGGCGGGAUGCCAAGUCAGCGGUAAAAAUGCGGUGCUCAACGCCGUCGAGCCGUUGAAACUGGCGUUCUUGAGUGGGCGAGAAGUAUGCGGAAUGCGUGGUGUAGCGGUGAGAUGCAUAGAUAUCACGCAGAACUCCGAUUGCGAAGGCAGCGCACCGGCGCCCUACCGACGCUCAGGCACGAAAGCGUGGGUAUCGAACAGG